AUUUUAAUUCAUUUAGGGGUAAAAUGAUAAUUUUUAGUGUCAAAAUGAUUGAUUGAUAUAAGGUUAAAAAUAAUUGUGAUGCAAAAAAUAUACAAAAUUUUGUAGUGAUUAGAUGUAUAAAAGACAAAAUAAAGUGAUGUAAAGAUAAUUUCCCUUGAAAAUUUAUUUAAAAAUUUAAUGAAAGUUGAAACCUGGCCCAAGCCUGCCUAGACCCGACCCAAUUUGGAUGAGCUUUUAGAGGCUUAGGCUUGUUACCAAUAACAUCAGCUUGGGUCUAGGCUCGAAAAGUCAUGCUUAACCCCGCAAUUUACCAUCCCUAUUAUUUAGUAGUCGAGAAGUUUGGCAUUUUUACAUAAUUAUAUUUUUAUUUAAUUUUUUUUAUUGUGCUAUCAAUGAAUGAUUGAAGAGAUUGGAUGUAAAAUUCAUAUAGUUCAAAUUCAAGACUUCUAAUGUUAUAUUUACUAAAAUUGCAGACUUAUUCACCCGAGACUUGUCUAAAGGUCUAGAAGUUGAGAAGUCUUUAAAUUACGAUCUGGAUCAAACAUUCAAUCACUAAACUUAAUUAAUAUUGAACACAAUAAAUCUCAUUAAAAAUGAUAUGUUACCUGUACAUUUAAAUAUACUUUAUCAUAUUUUAUAAGAAAAAAUUACUAAAUCAAAAACACCCAACACUUAUAAAUUUAGCAUGUUAUCUAUAUAUUUGAAAGUAAACAGAACAAAAACUUAAAUCUUAUGAUAAAUAUAAAAAAACAAAUAUAGCUUGUUAGAAGUGAAUGUGAUUUUUAAAUUGUUUUGAGCUAUGUUUGUUGGAACUUUGAUAGAGAGAGAUUGAUAAAGACGAAAGAGGUAUUUUAGAUAAAAAUACCAUUGAAAUAUCAUAAACAUUACAAUUUAAAGAAGUGUCAUAUUUAUAAAAAGUGUAUUAUUUUAUCAUAUACAAAUAAAAUAAUAGUGUCCUCAUCCUCUUCCUAGUUCCUAGUCCCAGUGUAGACAAAUGAUUUUUAUCCAUGAAAGGAUCUCUUGAGCUCUUAUUAGCCAAUUCCAAAGCUGAUUCAAUAGUCUCAUCUAGAGAUGGCCAACGAGCCGGACGGCACGUGGCAUGGUGUGGGCAUUUACGGCAUAGCACGACACAAGCACAUUCCAAUGGGACACGCAGCAUGACACAACACGUCAAGGCAUGCAUGUUAACUGGGUUGAGCUUAGAAUUUUAGGGACACGGUCUUUAAGAGUACAGCGCAAUUAAAGAUGGGUUAAAAUACGACACGUGAAAAAAAAACUGCAAUAAGCACAUUUUAUUUUUUAAUAAAAGUAC
RNAcentral lists this long non-coding RNA (1312 nucleotides) under Citrus x clementina. RNAcentral describes it as "Citrus clementina (C. clementina) long non-coding RNA (CCLE_LNC005391)". Lineage: Eukaryota; Viridiplantae; Streptophyta; Magnoliopsida; Sapindales; Rutaceae. The record is from RNAcentral.